Molecule: ribosomal RNA, 253 nt
Filed under: uncultured bacterium
Lineage: Bacteria
Description: partial 16S ribosomal RNA
Rfam family: Bacterial small subunit ribosomal RNA
Source: RNAcentral
UACGGAGGGUGCAAGCGUUAUCCGGAUUCACUGGGCUUAAAGGGCGCGUAGGCGGGCAGGUAAGUCAGUGGUGAAAUCUUCAAGCUUAACUUGGAAACUGCCAUUGAUACUAUCUGUCUUGAAUGUUCUGGAGGUUAGCGGAAUAUGUCAUGUAGCGGUGAAAUGCUUAGAUAUGACAUAGAAUACCUAUUGCGAAGGCAGCUAACUACGGAAAUAUUGACGCUGAGGCACGAAAGCGUGGGGAUCAAACAGG